Cyprinus carpio (common carp) is the source of this 585-nucleotide long non-coding RNA. RefSeq lists it as uncharacterized. Lineage: Eukaryota; Metazoa; Chordata; Actinopteri; Cypriniformes; Cyprinidae. The transcript has 2 exons. The record is from RefSeq and is a predicted model, not a curated record.
UGAUGUAUCAGGUCUGAAUGUGGAGUUGGCCUUCACUGCUGUGGCCAAGGAGCUGAAGCACAGGGAGAUGAAGGAGCCUAACGAGCCAAAGUUUCAGCUGCAGGAGUAUGUUAACAAGGAGAUGAAGGGAGUCGGCUGCUGUCGCUCCUAAACCCUCUCUCUCUCUGUCUCUCUGUCUGUUUGUGUGUUUUUCCACUUUCAUCCUCUUCUCUCACAUAAAUUGGAUGCCUGUCAGAUAUUCUGCAGCUCUGGAGACUUUCAUCUUUAAACGCUCAGCUCGCAAACAAUAGCGAACGACACGAAGCAAAGAGAAGCGGUCAUCAGAAUGCAACUGGCACGUGCUUAAUUAUUCACACCCCCAAUAAACACAGACCCACCUCUCCAAGCAGCUGUGAAUGUAUGUUCAACACUCAUGACUGGAGUGUCUCAAAGUUUGCUUUUAUUAGAUGGCAAAAUCAUUCAGUCGUCCAAUUACUUAGAUGUACUUUUCUGUGGCAGCUUCACUUGAACCCAAUUAUACACCACUUUUAUUGUUAAAAAUACCCACAAGUGUGUCAUAAACGUGGCGGUUCAGCACAGAGAUAA